Molecule: ribosomal RNA, 939 nt
Filed under: uncultured Neocallimastigales
Lineage: Eukaryota; Fungi; Neocallimastigomycota; Neocallimastigomycetes; Neocallimastigales
Description: partial large subunit ribosomal RNA
Rfam family: Eukaryotic large subunit ribosomal RNA (bases 144-939)
Source: RNAcentral
CCAUCUGUGCAUGCAGCAUAUCAAUAAGCGGAGGAAAAGUCAACUACCUAUGCUUAGGAUGUUGACGAGACUGUCGAUCUCAUACAUGACUCUGCGCAUAUCAAUAAGCGGAGGAAAAGACAACAUACCUACGCUUAGGAUGUUGACACACGCGCGUGCUCGACUCUAUACAUGACUCUGUGCAUAUCAAUAAGCGGAGGAAAAGAAACUAACAAGGAUUCCCUUAGUAACGGCGAGUGAAGCGGGAAGAGCUCAAAUUUGAAAUCUUCAAGGUUUUACCUUGACGAAUUGUAGUUUAAAGAAGUGUUUUCUGCUGAAGUUUUGGUAAAAGUUCUUUGGAAUAGGACAUCAUAGAGGGUGAGAAUCCCGUAUUUGACCAUUAUUUUCAGCUUUGUGAUACACUUUCAAAGAGUCGGAUUGUUUGGGAAUGCAGUCCAAAAUGGGUGGUAAAUUUCAUCUAAAGCUAAAUAUUGGCGAGAGACCGAUAGCGAACAAGUACCGUGAGGGAAAGAUGAAAAGAACUUUGAAAAGAGAGUUAAACAGUACGUGAAAUUGUCAAAAGGGAAGCGUUUGACACCAGUGUUGUUUUCUCGAAAAUCAAUUAAAAAUGGCUCGAUUUUGUAUUGCUGAGACCUUAAAAGCUCACUGUACAUUUUUCGUGUCUUUUUUAAUGCACUUUUCGUUUAACAAGUCAACAUCAGUUUCUUUUGUUGUAAAAGGGUCAUUGGAAGGUGGCUUUCUUUUCGGAGAAAGUGUUUAUAGCCUUCGGCCUCUGCAAUCGGAGAGACUGAGGUCUGCAGCGUAGACUCUUCGGGGUUAGAUACAUUUGUGCUAAGUUAUAGCUUUUUAUAGACAACUUGUUGACUAUAAUUAGUCUUGUAGCUUACUCGCUUAUGCUAUUUUACCUACGCUUAGGAUGUUGACGCAUGAGAUAUACGC